RNAcentral lists this ribosomal RNA (1481 nucleotides) under uncultured Bordetella sp. Its description in RNAcentral is "partial 16S-23S ribosomal RNA intergenic spacer". It matches the Rfam family "Bacterial small subunit ribosomal RNA". The record is from RNAcentral. Lineage: Bacteria; Pseudomonadati; Pseudomonadota; Betaproteobacteria; Burkholderiales; Alcaligenaceae.
AGUUUGAUCCUGGCUCAGUUGAACGCUGGCGGGAUGCUUUACACAUGCAAGUCGAACGGCAGCGGACUUCGGUCUGGUGGCGAGUGGCGAACAGUUAGGUAAUGUAUCGGAACGUGCCUAGUAGCGGGGGAUAACUACGCGAAAGCGUAGCUAUUCCACAUACAUGCACUUCGGGGAAAGCGGGGGACGCGCGGGCCUCGCACUGGCCAGAGCGGCCGAUAUCGGAUUAGCUAGUUGGUGGGGUAACGGCUCGCAAGGCGACGAUCCGUAGCUGAAAGUUUCGAGGGGACGACCAGCCGCACUGGGACUGAGACUGGCCCAGACUCCUACGGGAGGCAGCGGUGGAGAUUUUGGACAAUGGGGGAAACCCUGAUCCAGCCAUCCACGUGUGCGAUGAAAGGCCUUCGGGUUGUAAAGCACUUUUGGCAGGAAAGAAACGGCACGGGAUAAUACCCGUGCAGCUGUUGUGUACCUGCAGGAAUAAGCCGGCUAACUACGUGCCAGCAAGCCCGCCGAUAAUACGUAAGUGCAAGCGUUAAUCGGAAUUACUGAGCAAAGCGUGCGCAGGCGGUUCGGAAAAGAAAAGAUCUUGAAAUCCCAGAGCUUAACUUUGGAACUGCAUUUUUAUACUGCGAGCUAGAGUGUGUCAGAGGGAGGUGGAAUUCCCGCGUGUAGCAGUGAAAUGCGUAGAUAGGAGGAACGAUGGCGAAGGCGGCCUCACAGGAUAACACUGACGCUCAUGCACGAAAGCGUGGGAGCAAACAGGAUUAGAUACCCUGUUCAGUCCACGCCUAAACGAUGUCAACUAGCUGUUGGGGCCUUCCGGGCCUUGGUGGCGCAGCUAACGCUGAGGUCGGCCGCCUGGGAGUACGGUCGCAAGAUUAAAACUCAAAGGAAUUGACGGGGACCUUACACAAGCGGUGGAUAGUGUGGAUUAAUUCGAUGCAACGCGAAACCUUACUACCCUUGACAUGUCUGGAAUCCCGAAAGAGAUUUGGGAGUACUCGCAAGAGGAACCGGAACACAGGUGCUGCACGCAGGCAUGUCGACUCGUGUCGUGAGAUGUUGGGUUAAGUCCACAACGAAGGCGCAGCCCUUGUCAUUAGUUGCUACGAAAGGGCACUCUAAUGAGACUGCCGGUGACAAACCGGAGGAAGGUGGGGAUGACGUCAAGUCCUCAUGGCCCUUAUGGUGAAGACUACGUCAUACAAUGGUCGGGACAGAGGUCGCCAACCCGCGAGGGAGCCAAUCCAGGAAACCCGAUCGUAGUCCGGAUCACCGAUCACAGCUCGAACUGCGUGAAGUCGAAUCGCUUCAAGUAAUCGCGGAUCAGCAUGUCGCAGGUAGAAUACGUUCCCGGGUCUUGUACACACCGCCCGUCACACCAUGGGAGUGGGUUUACCAGAAGUAGUUAGCCUAACCGUAAGGAGGCGAUUACCGCAUUAGGAUUCGCUGACUGGGGUGAAGUCGUAACAAGGUAG